AGAGGCACAGGCUUCCGUUUGCGGAAUGAGGCAGCGGGAGGGACCAGAGGUGCGGCACGGGGAGGACGGCCGACGAUGCCGUCGUAGUGCUGUGUGGCGACAGAUGGCGGCUACGCUUGUGGCCAACACGGCCUGACACACAGCCUUGUCAGAUGGCCGUGUCGCACACCUGAAACGGACGUCAUCCUUUAGGAAACCUUACCGGCUCCCACAGCAGCUCGUGAAACUCGGUUUCCUCAUCGAUACGGAUGCGGACCAGGAGCGCAGAAGCCUGCGACCUCCUGGUUCCCGCCAAAACAAAGCUUUGUUUUCGCAUUUCGUUACAAACGGGACUGAUUUCAAAGCUCUUCUGAGUGAAACGGUCUCUCAAAAAGUUCAGCAGAAGGUAAACGAGGAAAAAGAUCCACAACUAAAUGGAAUCACACACCCUCCUAAAGGAUCAGUUUGAAGCUUUUAUGUGUAGGCACAAUGAGAAUGAUACUUUUUCGGUCAAGCUAUACACAAAAUGAAUAACUACAAAUCACGGGAUCCCACAGACGUGUGGCUUACCAGGAAGACUUUACAACGGUUUAAAAUGUAGACUUUGUUAGAAUUUUAUUCAAAAAAAUGGCUCCCAAACUUUUUUAGUCGCCCGACCUGGGACGAGUUAAUUAACGUCUCUAACCCUCAGUUUGUUUGUUACACAAUGGGAUGAUGAUAGUACCUACUUCACAGGACUGUUGUGAGGACUAAAUAAGAUAAGAAUUAACGAGGCUUUAGCCCUCACAUGGUAAGCAUUCAGGAGUAGAUAAACGGUGGCUAUUAUUCUGUUGUUGUCACUCCUCCAUAAAGUGAAGGCUAAUCAUCACGUAGAGAAGUCCAGAGGCUCUCCCGGGUAUCAGUCAUACCCUGGCAUUCUUAAUUUAGACACCCAGAGAUGGCGAAACUCGCUAGGACUUCUAAUUGUCCAUUCCCGAUGGUUCCUUCACACUCCGUGUGCUCUGGAGGGUCUCUGCAUAUUUAAGAUAUAGGCCAUUGUCCAGCCAACAGGGUAUCUCACUCGGAUACAAGGAAUCACAGAGUUUAAGGAGUAAAUUUAUGGAUAAAGCAUUAACCUUGUCCUAAAUGCCAAGGUCUUUGGGGAUUUAUCGGUCUUUACCUUACAAAAAUAGAGUAAAUGCUACGUAUGUACUCUCUUGUAAGGAUAAACCCAAAAACUGAACUUUUACCUGCUAAAAUACCAAAUCCGAAACUUGUGUUUUAAAGGCUGGGUCGGCGUUCCACGCUCAGGUGUCCUGUUGGAACCACUGUGUGACGAUUAUGUGGCGAAGAGAUGGGCUGGUAAUGAAAGUGAAUUAAACAUAUCUGGGGACACACUGUUGUACAUCUGUAUGUCGUAAGAAAAACUCUCAUCCGGACUCGAUAAUUUAAAAAUAUGUGUGCGUACCUACACCCAUACAUACGCACACAGGUGUUCACGUGGCCUUACCUGUUUUGAAGGUUGUAUGCAGGGAAUAUAGGGGAGAUCGUAAGUAAAAUUACAUCCAACUAUGCAAAUGUAAUGAAAAUUUUAAAUCUAA
Molecule: long non-coding RNA, 1559 nt
Organism: Neofelis nebulosa (Clouded leopard)
Lineage: Eukaryota; Metazoa; Chordata; Mammalia; Carnivora; Felidae
Exons: 2
Source: RefSeq, a predicted model, not a curated record